UAUCGGAUUGAGUCCAAAACUUGGGGAACAUCAUAAUGUUGUGGGAGGAGUCAUUUGGUGGGUUUUGAGUGAAAUCCAAUCCUUAGAACUAUACAAUACACCAACCACUCCAUUUCAGAACGAACUUCGUACGAACCUGAAUUGUCCGAUUUCAAGCACCAAUCGAUAUCGGAUUGAGUCCAAAACUUGGGGAACAUCAUAAUAUUGUGGGAGG
This 214-nucleotide long non-coding RNA is filed under the name Prunus persica (peach). RNAcentral's name for it is "long non-coding RNA (PPER_LNC001018)". The record is from RNAcentral. Lineage: Eukaryota; Viridiplantae; Streptophyta; Magnoliopsida; Rosales; Rosaceae.